Oryza brachyantha (malo sina) is the source of this 918-nucleotide long non-coding RNA. RefSeq lists it as uncharacterized. The record is from RefSeq and is a predicted model, not a curated record. The transcript has 5 exons. NCBI's taxonomy places the organism in Eukaryota, Viridiplantae, Streptophyta, Magnoliopsida, Poales, Poaceae.
UUCCUUCGCGCGAGUUCUAGCCAGAUCGAUCCCCGAUUCCUCUCUCGUUGUUUCCACCGGCACAGCAAUCUCCUUCUCCGCCGCCGUAAAAUCCUCUCCUACUCUGCCACGGUGCCACUGGCCGGCGCCGGCAACCCCUCCGUCCCCACUAUCCAUCCGGCAAUCCGCUCCCCCUCCCCCAAAAUCGACGGCACAAACCCCUCCGUCCCUCCACCGAUGUCGGGUUCCUCUCCGCCACCCAACCCCGCAAUCCCCUCUAUCCGACGUCGCAAAUCCUUCCUACUCUGCAAUCAGGCGACACUUUCCCCUUCAUCCAUUGCCGCUAUCCCCGCUGCCUGACGCUGCAAGCCACCUCCCUUAUGGCGGACUGGUGCUUCAGCCCGACCGGAGACUGAGGAGGUCAUCUUCUCUGGUGUGUGAUCAGCUUGGGCUUCAUAUCCUCCUGCGGAGAUCCGCGACGGAGCUGCAAGAGACCAACUGCUGCUAAAGAAACGAUUUGCUGUUGUUAUGGGACAAAUCAGAGACUACAGAGCAGAAGAUUUCAGCACUGCUUCUGCUCUCAAUUUUACAGCUUCGUUGAAGAGAACAAAAUCUUGAGAUGGCUGGUCCCCCAAAGGAGACGGUGCAGGGCACUGAGAGGCUGAUUCGGAUCCAUGAGAUGAGGCGGACCCAACAACUUGAUUUGGGGAUGAAGAUGGCAAACACAGACCAUGCAACGGUUGGCUGGGGAGGGGAGCAACGGUUGGAAGCAGCAACGGCCACUUGCAAUUUAAAAUUUGUUGUCAGAAAUCAACUCUGUUGUUGCCGACAGUAGUACUAGUACCUGGUUGUAACGAUGUACUACUAACACAAUGGCUAAUACCAGGUAGUAAGGAGUCAUUUAAUGCUUAGUACCUGGUUUUUUACAACAUUGUGGAU